RNAcentral lists this ribosomal RNA (449 nucleotides) under uncultured bacterium. Its description in RNAcentral is "partial 16S ribosomal RNA". It matches the Rfam family "Bacterial small subunit ribosomal RNA", at positions 338 to 794 of the family's 1533-position model. The record is from RNAcentral.
CCUACGGGAGGCAGCAGUCUAGAAAUUUGGGCAAUGGGCGAAAGCCUGACCCAGCGACGCUGUGUGGAGGAUGGAGCCCUUCGGGGUGUAAACUCCUGUCAGUAGGGACGAUGCCCUUUUAGGGUGACGGUACCUAAAGAGGAAGUCACGGCUAACUACGUGCCAGCAGCCGCGGUAAAACGUAGGUGGCGAGCGUUGCCCGGAUUCACUGGGCGUAAAGGGUGUGUAGGCGGACUGGAAAGUCCAAGGUGAAAGCCCUCGGCUCAACUGAGGAAUUGCCUUGGAUACUUCCAGCCUAGAGGACGGGAGAGGGGAGUGGAACUCCCGGUGUAGCGGUAGAAUGCGUGGAUAUCGGGAGGAACGCCAAUAGCGAAGGCAGCUCCCUGGAACGUUCCUGACGCUGAAACACGAAAGCUGGGGGAGCAAACAGGAUUAGAUACCCGGGUAGU